Molecule: long non-coding RNA, 1069 nt
Filed under: Arabidopsis lyrata
Lineage: Eukaryota; Viridiplantae; Streptophyta; Magnoliopsida; Brassicales; Brassicaceae
Description: long non-coding RNA (ALYR_LNC003232)
Source: RNAcentral
GCGGUGUGGCUGAAGGUCAUCCAUUGGUGCAAGAUAAAGCAAUAGAGAUUUUGUCUCGCUUCUGCAAGACACAGUUUGUCUUGUUAGGUCAACUUUUGGUGACACAAUCAAAAUCAAUUUCUUCAUUGGCUAACAGAACAAUCAACUCAUCAAGUCCUGAAAUAAAAGUCGGAGGGGCUAUGCUGCUUGUGUGUGCAGCAAAGAACGAUAAGAAAUUAUGGGCGGAAGCAAUUGAACGAACAGGGUAUUUGAAAAGCUUAGUAAACACUCUUCUUGAUAUGUCAAAGCAGAACUCUAAAUGUGCUUCAUAUGGAAUUGAAAUUCAAAGACCAAGAUCUUUCAUUACAAUCAAUUUGUGCUUACGGAUGGAUGACUCCGAAAUGGUUGAUCCAGUUACUGUCUUGGGAAGCACCGUCUCAAUGUGGUUACUCUCCAUUAUUUGCUCUUCUCAUCCUACGAACAGACUUGUUGUCAUGGAAGCCAAUGGACUUGAAAUUAUUGCAGAAAAGCUUCAAAGAAACAAGUCCAACACACAGGUAGAUAAGUAUACUUACUAGCUCUCUUUAGCUUUUUUUUUUUUUUCAAAUCCUGCAUCUGAGUCAUGAUCAUUAAUUUUGCAGGAGAAUACCUCAGAUUCCGAGGAAAAAUGGAUUGCUAUGUCAUUCUUAGCUGUUAUGUCUCAGGAACCAAAUGUUGUCUCAUCUCCAGCAACAGAAAAUCUUUUGCCAACACUAGCACCUUUCAUGCAAUCUGAUCAGAUGAUUGACGGAUAUUUUACUGCACAAGUGUUGGCAGGGUUAGUUCGUCAUAAGAAUGAUAGGAUCAUUUCAGAAAUCAUGAAUUCAGAUAUCGUAGAAACUACGAUAAACUUGGUAGGGUGUGCGGAAUCAGACACAGGGAGUUUUUGUGCCUUAGCAGAAGAGCUAUCUCUGGUACAAAAUCCUUUUGAGGCCACUUUAGCGGUACUCUUCGAAGAUGAAAGAGUAAGACGUGGUUCAUUUACCAAAAAAUGUAUUCCGUUGCUGGUGAAUCUUUUGAAGCCAUAUGCAGAUAAAGCUGGAGCCAUUCC